Molecule: long non-coding RNA, 1770 nt
Filed under: Mytilus galloprovincialis (Mediterranean mussel)
Lineage: Eukaryota; Metazoa; Mollusca; Bivalvia; Mytilida; Mytilidae
Source: RNAcentral
AAACAGUCAAACAAUGGUACGGGGUACUUAUACUUUGAAGCUUAUUGAGGAAACUCAUCAAACAUUAGUGAGUUCAAACUCUCAGCGCUACACACAUGACACAUAUAACCCUUCGUACGGAAAUUUAUUUAGACAGUUAAUGUUCAUUUCAUGUUGAAAAAAAGUAAAAUAAAAUGCCACGCUCAACGGAGUGGAUAAAUCUAACCAGAGCAAAAAAAGUUAUCUUUGUUUUGACAAUAGUAGCACUUUUUUUGCUUGUCCUUGGAUUUUCAACGCCAUUUUGGAUUUUGAUAUCAGUUGAUUUUAACUACGGUGACCGUGAUUACAGAGAUGUUUACUUUUUGUUUGAACUACACGAGAAAGAAUUUGUUGGUCUCUGGCAGUGUUGCGUUAAACAAUAUGGAUGUUUUGAUUUAUCAUUGUUGGCGAAAUAUUUUUCAACACAUUUCAAAUCUGAUGGUAGAGUAGAUAUGCGAAUAUACAAGACGAACAGAAUUAUAAGUAUGUUAACAUAUUAAUGGAUAUUAUUUUAUAUUUUGUAUCAAUUAUUGUUUGGUUUUUGUUAUACUUUAGACAUUAUAUAAUAUUAAGUUUGUGUCUAGAGGUCGGCCGCGAUAUGUUUUUUUUUCUCUCUUUUCCUCAUUAUAGCAAUUUUUAAUUGAGGAAUAAUGAAUAAACUAGAUAAAAUGUUGAUUUAGGUAUGAAUAAAAUGAUCCACACUUUAGAUUUAGAUACUGACGAUAAAUGCCAAACCAGACACAUUAUUCUGAAUCCGAUCCAAACAGUCUUUGCUUUUUCUCCUAAAUGCUGCGAAAUUAUCGGGACAAAACAGCCGAGUAUUACCCUUUUAUAGUUAAGAACAAUACGAUUCAACCUGGUUAAGGUCGAUCUUUCGACGUCACACACUCAAAGAAGUACCUUACAAAGAGACAAUCAGAGAUGUUGAAAUCCAACUUCUUAAGAUGAGGAAAUUAUUGAAUUGUUGUUACUUGCAAUAAUAACAUCAAGUUUUACAAAGUUUUAGUUGUAAACUAUGUCAUUUCGUCAUUGUCGGGAAGUUGACUCAUUGACAAUCAUACCACUUCUUACUUAUGUAACAUGUAUAACAGAAAUUAAAAUAUGUAAAUGUUUAUAAUACAGAAAGGUACGUGAUAAGUGCCAUACACAAUAAAAAUGUACUGUUCUUUUGAAAUGUGGGAAUGUAAUAAAUCAUACCUUUUACAUUUUCAAGUUUGAUGUUUUAUUCAAUUCAGAAGCCGCAAACAAAAGCACCAAACGUAUGCGAAUAAACAAAUACAUUCAACAAUUAAAAUUAUCUACAGUUGUAGGGAAAUAUGUGUGUUAAUUGGACAAACAAUAACUAGGCUGGGCAUCCGUGGGCUAGAAACCGGCAUCCAUAACGUUAGAAUCAGACGGUUAAAGAAUAUAAAACAAAGAAGUUAAAACAACUCCGACGUGUUUCAUUCGAUUUUAAAUUCUCUCCACAGUCGAAAUGGUAAUUCCGUUCAAUCUAUCAUUUGCAUAUGCCUUAAAACAAUGUCAACGUGUCAAUGUAGAACAAUUUAAAAUAUCAGAAUCCGGUUUACUCGGAAUAGAGUUAACCUUUUUAAUCUUUUUUUUUUAGAUUUGUGGACAGGUUCAAGAUCGUUUUCAACUUCAACGCAGAAUUAUUAAAUUCAUUAUAAUCAGGUUCACACGGAAUCAACUUUAACUUUUUUUAAAUAUUUUUAGAUUUAGGGAUAGUUUCAAGAUCAUGUGCAACUGUAGCCG